AUUGAACGCUGGCGGCAGGCUUAACACAUGCAAGUCGAGCGGAGAUGAGGUGCUUGCACCUUAUCUUAGCGGCGGACGGGUGAGUAAUGCUUAGGAAUCUGCCUAUUAGUGGGGGACAACAUUCCGAAAGGAAUGCUAAUACCGCAUACGUCCUACGGGAGAAAGCAGGGGAUCUUCGGACCUUGCGCUAAUAGAUGAGCCUAAGUCGGAUUAGCUAGUUGGUGGGGUAAAGGCCUACCAAGGCGACGAUCUGUAGCGGGUUUGAGAGGAUGGUCCGGCACCCUGGGACUGAGACACGGCCAAGACUCCUACGGGAGGCAGCAGUGGGGAAUAUUGGACAAUGGGGGAAACCCUGAUCCAGCCAUGCCGCGUGUGUGAAGAAGGCCUUAUGGUUGUAAAGCACUUUAAGCGAGGAGGAGGCUACUGAGACUAAUACUCUUGGAUAGUGGACGUUACUCGCAGAAUAAGCACCGGCUAACUCUGUGCCAGCAGCCGCAGUAA
This 501-nucleotide ribosomal RNA is filed under the name uncultured bacterium. Its description in RNAcentral is "partial 16S ribosomal RNA". It matches the Rfam family "Bacterial small subunit ribosomal RNA", at positions 30 to 523 of the family's 1533-position model. The record is from RNAcentral.